GGCGACGUAGCCAAACGGCUAAGGCAAGAGGCUGCAACCCUCUCAUUCUGGGUUCAAAUCCCAGCGUCGCCU
Molecule: transfer RNA, 72 nt
Filed under: Candidatus Woesearchaeota archaeon CG10_big_fil_rev_8_21_14_0_10_44_13
Lineage: Archaea; Nanobdellati; Candidatus Woesearchaeota
Description: tRNA-Cys
Rfam family: tRNA
About the family: Transfer RNA (tRNA) molecules are approximately 80 nucleotides in length. Their secondary structure includes four short double-helical elements and three loops (D, anti-codon, and T loops).
Source: RNAcentral